UAGGGAAUCUUCGGCAAUGGGGGGAACCCUGACCGAGCAACGCCGCGUGAGUGAAGAAGGUUUUCGGAUCGUAAAGCUCUGUUGUUAAGGAAGAACGAGUGUGAGAAUGGAAAGUUCAUACUGUGACGGUACUUAACCAGAAAGGGACGGCUAACUACGUGCCAGCAGCCGCGGUAAUACGUAGGUCCCGAGCGUUGUCCGGAUUUAUUGGGCGUAAAGCGAGAGCAGGCGGUUAGAUAAGUCUGAAGUUAAAGGCAGUGGCUCAACCAUUGUAGGCUUUGGAAACUGUUUAACUUGAGUGCAGAAGGGGAGAGUGGAAUUCCAUGUGUAGCGGUGAAAUGCAUAGAUAUAUGGAGGAACACCGGUGGCGAGAGCGGCUCUCUGGUCUGUAACUGACGCUGAGGCUCGAAAGCGUGGGGAGCGAACAGG
Molecule: ribosomal RNA, 429 nt
Filed under: Bacteroidota bacterium
Lineage: Bacteria; Pseudomonadati; Bacteroidota
Description: Bacteroidetes bacterium partial 16S ribosomal RNA
Rfam family: Bacterial small subunit ribosomal RNA
Source: RNAcentral